AACAAAGGUCAAACAAGCAUAAAAUGUAAGAAAAUAAAAUAAAAUACAUUAAAAAUAUUUUUAAAAUGAAUUUUAAAAAGGAAAUAAAAGAGAAAAUCCAUAAAGCCUUUCAAAACACCAAAUAAAUGGCUAAGAAAAUUAUGGAAGGUUGAAAAUAAAAUAAGAGACAUAAGAUAAAUUUUUCAGAAAUUUUAAAUGCCUAAAAGUGGUUUUAAACCAAUUAAAACAAAAGAGAAAAGAGAAAAUAUAAGAAAAAUAGAAAAUCAAUAAAAUAAAAUAUGGAAAAAUAAAAAUCAAAUAAAGAAAAGAAAAAAAAAUUUAGAAAUUAUUUUGGGAUUUUUUGGAUGAAAAAUGAAUUUACUAUAAAUUUUAAAAGAAAAUGCAAUUUAAAAUGAAAAAGAAAUAAAAAUAAAAAUCAUAAAAAACACAGAGCAUUGGAUUUGGACUCAUUAAUUGAUGUGGCAAAUCCAACAACUAUCAAGCUAGGGUGCACGGUAGAAAUUAGCCAAAAUAAAACACUGAAUCAAAUUCAAAAUGGACGAAUCAGAAUAUUUCAAAUUGCCAACGUGUAUGGCCAAACUUAGAUGUCC
RNAcentral lists this long non-coding RNA (590 nucleotides) under Lathyrus oleraceus (garden pea). RNAcentral describes it as "Pisum sativum (pea) long non-coding RNA (PSAT_LNC005129)". The record is from RNAcentral. Lineage: Eukaryota; Viridiplantae; Streptophyta; Magnoliopsida; Fabales; Fabaceae.